CGAGUGGCGGACGGGUGAGUAAUGUCUGGGAAACUGCCUGAUGGAGGGGGAUAACUACUGGAAACGGUGGCUAAUACCGCAUAACGUCGCAAGACCAAAGAGGGGGACCUUCGGGCCUCUUGCCAUCAGAUGUGCCCAGAUGGGAUUAGCUAGUUGGUGAGGUAACGGCUCACCAAGGCGACGAUCCCUAGCUGGUCUGAGAGGAUGACCAGCCACACUGGAACUGAGACACGGUCCAGACUCCUACGGGAGGCAGCAGUGGGGAAUAUUGCACAAUGGGCGCAAGCCUGAUGCAGCCAUGCCGCGUGUAUGAAGAAGGCCUUCGGGUUGUAAAGUACUUUCAGCGGGGAGGAAGGUGUUGUGGUUAAUAACCGCAGCAAUUGACGUUACCCGCAGAAGAAGCACCGGCUAACUCCGUGCCAGCAGCCGCGGUAAUACGGAGGGUGCAAGCGUUAAUCGGAA
This 462-nucleotide ribosomal RNA is filed under the name Salmonella enterica. RNAcentral's name for it is "bacterial SSU rRNA". It matches the Rfam family "Bacterial small subunit ribosomal RNA", at positions 92 to 550 of the family's 1533-position model. The record is from RNAcentral. Lineage: Bacteria; Pseudomonadati; Pseudomonadota; Gammaproteobacteria; Enterobacterales; Enterobacteriaceae.